CCAGUAUGGGUUGGAAUAUGGUGUAUAUGACCCCAGUGCUGACUGUAAGGAAGUAUAGUGCAUACCUUCUCAUGUUUUCCCAGAACUCCUCCACCAAGGGCCCCUCAGGCCCCAGAGCCAAGGCAUCUUGUUGCCCAUCAAUUCCCAAAAGAAGAAAGGCAAGGCCAAUGGAAACACCUCCCAAGAGCAUCCAUCUAGGAAUUCCUUCUGUGGGAGCUUUUAUAGGCUCAUUCCCAAUGGUCUUUGGGGAUUUAGGCCUGGCU
RNAcentral lists this long non-coding RNA (263 nucleotides) under Phoenix dactylifera (date palm). RNAcentral describes it as "long non-coding RNA (PDAC_LNC001127)". Lineage: Eukaryota; Viridiplantae; Streptophyta; Magnoliopsida; Arecales; Arecaceae. The record is from RNAcentral.